Molecule: ribosomal RNA, 268 nt
Filed under: uncultured bacterium
Lineage: Bacteria
Description: partial 16S ribosomal RNA
Rfam family: Bacterial small subunit ribosomal RNA
Source: RNAcentral
GUCCACGCCCUAAACGAUGGAUACUAGGUGUGGGAGGUAUCGACCCCUCCCGUGCCGCAGCUAACGCAUUAAGUAUCCCGCCUGGGGAGUACGGUCGCAAGAUUAAAACUCAAAGGAAUUGACGGGGGCCCGCACAAGCGGUGGAGCAUGUGGUUUAAUUCGACGCAACGCGAAGAACCUUACCUGGGCUUGACAUCCCUGGAACCCCUAUGAAAGUAGGGGGUGCCUAGCAAUAGGAGCCAGGAGACAUGUGCUGCAUGGCUGUCGU